UACGUAGGGUGCAAGCGUUGUCCGGAAUUAUUGGGCGUAAAGAGCUCGUAGGCGGUCUGUCGCGUCGGCUGUGAAAACUCGGGGCUCAACCCCGAGCCUGCAGUCGAUACGGGCAGACUAGAGGUAUGCAGGGGAGAACGGAAUUCCUGGUGUAGCGGUGAAAUGCGCAGAUAUCAGGAGGAACACCGGUGGCGAAGGCGGGUCUCUGGGCCGAUACUGACGCUGAGGAGCGAAAGCGUGGGGAGCGAACAGG
RNAcentral lists this ribosomal RNA (253 nucleotides) under uncultured bacterium. Its description in RNAcentral is "partial 16S ribosomal RNA". It matches the Rfam family "Bacterial small subunit ribosomal RNA", at positions 524 to 776 of the family's 1533-position model. The record is from RNAcentral.